This 590-nucleotide long non-coding RNA is filed under the name Nicotiana benthamiana. RNAcentral describes it as "long non-coding RNA (NBEN_LNC031264)". The record is from RNAcentral. Lineage: Eukaryota; Viridiplantae; Streptophyta; Magnoliopsida; Solanales; Solanaceae.
UUUUGGACAAUAUUGAUGACGCUAAUGAGUGGCUAACUGGAGUCCCCGAAAAUUGUGAAGAUGAAGAAGUAUUUGAAGGCGACCCCGAUUUAACUUAGGGUGAUGUUGCGGUUGCUAGUGGAGUUGGGGAGGAUCCUUAUAGUUUAAGGAGUUGUACUCCAAGUUCAAGUUCAAUUUGGAAGGGAAAAAGUGUGGUUACUACAAGUCGAUCCAUUGAUGAAGAUGAGAAUUAUUAUGAAGAGGAGGGGGAAGAAGAAGAUGACGAGCAAUAUGAAGAUAACCGAGGAAUUCAAGAUUUUGACUAUCUUGAAGGAGAAGAAGACAUANNNNNNNNNNNNNAGAAGAAGAUGACGAGCAAUAUGAAGAUAACCGAGGAAUUCAAGAUUUUGAAAAUCUUGAAGGAGAAGAAGACAUAUAGUAGCUUUGAUUUUGCUUGUUUAUAGUUUAUGGAUGAUUGUGGAUGAUUUGGUGGUACCUAGUACCUAAUUUAAAGUAUUUAAAUUGAUGUUUAUGAUUAUUCAUAAUUUUACAUUAUGUUUUUUAAAAAUUGCGCUUCACUUCAAAAAAGCGUGCGCUUCUUUGCGCUUUGC